UACAGAGGUCCCAAGCGUUGUUCGGAUUCACUGGGCGUAAAGGGUGCGUAGGUGGUGAGGUAAGUCGGAUGUGAAAGCUCGGAGCUCAACUCCGAAAUGGCAUUGGAAACUACCUUGCUCGAGGGUUGGAGGGGGGACUGGAAUGCUUGGUGUAGCAGUGAAAUGCGUAGAUAUCAAGCGGAACACCAGUGGCGAGGGCGAGUCCCUGGACAACUCCUGACACUGAGGCACGAAAGCUAGGGGAGCAAACAGG
Molecule: ribosomal RNA, 253 nt
Filed under: uncultured bacterium
Lineage: Bacteria
Description: partial 16S ribosomal RNA
Rfam family: Bacterial small subunit ribosomal RNA
Source: RNAcentral